GAACUAAGGUAAACUACAAGUAAAGUUACAGAAUUUGAGUACACUAUACUAGAGUCCACGUGGUCAAGAUAAAAAGAAUUUGUGAAUUAAACGUUAGAAUAAACCCUAGCACUGAAUUUGAAAGUAGAAAUUGCAUAAAUAAAUAGAAUUAUAAGAAGAAUUACCAGCAACAGAAUCUUGAUAAGAAGAAGAAGAAGAAGUAGCGGAGGAUGAAGAAGCAGGGGAAGAUUCAAGAUCCAAAACAGAAGUGAGAAUCUUUCCGGCACCAGAAGCAAUGAAACGAGUAGGAGAGAUGACGAAACGUGAAAGCCAAUUGGGGCUUUCCAGCUGAGGUUGUGGUGGAGAGGGUCGGGAGUACGGAGUGCGGUUUCUGGCGACGGCGGUACGGCGGAGGCGGACCAUUUUGCCUCCAGAUUGAGAUCCGGAAAUGGAAGCCAUGGAGCAGAGCAACACGCACGCGCGCAAGUGCACGUGGGAAUUGAAUUGAAUUGGAAGUGAAGUUUGGAAUCUUGUUCUUGGUUUAAUAACUUAAGAGGUUUUUUAAUUUAGUUCUACUAGUCUUCUCUUUCGCUUCAAAACCUUACUUCCAAGAAACUAACAGACCACCAGGUGUUUUAUUGUCCUAAGCGGUUAUCUUCGGUUUAUUGCGUUUUCAGUUUUUUACUCGAUAUAUCUACUAGUACUAUUCAUUAUCCCGUCAAAAAUUAAAAUAGUAAUAAUUAUAGGCGCAUUUAGUAAUAAUUUACUCGAUAAACACUAGACCUUGCACCCGUGCUCAUAAUUAUUUGAAACAAAACAUUCAAAUGUAUGUGUUGAGUUUAUACAAGAUUGAGAGCUUUUGUCUAGGCCUUCAUAAUGAUCAUCAGAUGUAUGUGUUGAGUUGGUUGAAUU
Molecule: long non-coding RNA, 891 nt
Filed under: Medicago truncatula (barrel medic)
Lineage: Eukaryota; Viridiplantae; Streptophyta; Magnoliopsida; Fabales; Fabaceae
Description: lncRNA gene19365
Source: RNAcentral